RNAcentral lists this ribosomal RNA (220 nucleotides) under Acinetobacter baumannii. Its description in RNAcentral is "partial 23S ribosomal RNA". It matches the Rfam family "Bacterial large subunit ribosomal RNA", at positions 923 to 1141 of the family's 2925-position model. The record is from RNAcentral. Lineage: Bacteria; Pseudomonadati; Pseudomonadota; Gammaproteobacteria; Moraxellales; Moraxellaceae.
GGGGCAUCCCGACUUACCAACCCGAUGCAAACUACGAAUACCGAAGAAUGUUAUCACGGGAGACACACGGCGGGUGCUAACGUCCGUCGUGAAGAGGGAAACAACCCAGACCGCCAGCUAAGGUCCCAAAGUCAUGGUUAAGUGGGAAACGAUGUGGGAAGGCACAGACAGCCAGGAUGUUGGCUUAGAAGCAGCCAUCAUUUAAAGAAAGCGUAAUAGC